AGUGAACGCUGGCGGUAGGCCUAACACAUGCAAGUCGAACGGCAGCACAGUAAGAGCUUGCUCUUACGGGUGGCGCGUGGCGGACGGGUGAGGAAUACAUCGGAAUCUACUUUUUCGUGGGGGAUAACGUAGGGAAACUUACGCUAAUACCGCAUACGACCUACGGGUGAAAGCAGGGGAUCUUCGGACCUUGCGCGAUUGAAUGAGCCGAUGUCGGAUUAGCUAGUUGGCGGGGUAAAGGCCCACCAAGGCGACGAUCCGUAGCUGGUCUGAGAGGAUGAUCAGCCACACUGGAACUGAGACACGGUCCAGACUCCUACGGGAGGCAGCGGUGGGGAAUAUUGGACGAUGGGCGCAAGCCUGAUCCAGCCAUACCGCGUGGGUGAAGAAGGCCUUCGGGUUGUAAAGCCCUUUUGUUGGGAAAGAAAAGCAGCAGGUUAAUACCCCGCUGUUCUGACGGUACCCAAAGAAUAAGCACCGGCUAACUUCGUG
This 492-nucleotide ribosomal RNA is filed under the name uncultured bacterium. Its description in RNAcentral is "partial 16S ribosomal RNA". It matches the Rfam family "Bacterial small subunit ribosomal RNA", at positions 29 to 507 of the family's 1533-position model. The record is from RNAcentral.